This 479-nucleotide ribosomal RNA is filed under the name uncultured bacterium. RNAcentral's name for it is "partial 16S ribosomal RNA". It matches the Rfam family "Bacterial small subunit ribosomal RNA", at positions 28 to 507 of the family's 1533-position model. The record is from RNAcentral.
GAUGAACGCUAGCGGGAGGCCUAACACAUGCAAGCCGAGCGGUAUUGUUUCUUCGGAAAUGAGAGAGCGGCGUACGGGUGCGUAACACGUGCGCAACCUGCCUUUAUCUGGGGGAUAGCCUUUCGAAAGGAAGAUUAAUACUCCAUAAUAUAUUGAACGGCAUCGUUUAAUAUUGAAAGCUCCGGCGGAUAGAGAUGGGCACGCGCAAGAUUAGCUAGUUGGUGAGGUAACGGCUCACCAAGGCUAUGAUUUUUAGGGGGCCUGAGAGGGGGAUCCCCCACACUGGUACUGAGACAAGGGCCAGACUCCUACGGGAGGCAGCAGUGAGGAAUAUUGGUCAAUGGGUGCGAGCCUGAACCAGCCAUCCCGCGUGAAGGACGACUGCCCUAUGGGUUGUAAACUUCUUUUGUAUAGGGAUAAACCUACCCUCGUGAGGGUAGCUGAAGGUACUAUACGAAUAAGCACCGGCUAACUCCGUG